This 73-nucleotide transfer RNA is filed under the name Marmota monax (woodchuck). It matches the Rfam family "tRNA". Rfam says of the family: Transfer RNA (tRNA) molecules are approximately 80 nucleotides in length. Their secondary structure includes four short double-helical elements and three loops (D, anti-codon, and T loops). The record is from Rfam by way of RNAcentral. Lineage: Eukaryota; Metazoa; Chordata; Mammalia; Rodentia; Sciuridae.
UGGGAUAUGGCUCAGUUGGUAGAGUGUUUGCCUUGCAUACACAAGACCCUGGGUUCAAUCCCCAGCACCACAC